Molecule: long non-coding RNA, 601 nt
Organism: Perognathus longimembris pacificus (Pacific pocket mouse)
Lineage: Eukaryota; Metazoa; Chordata; Mammalia; Rodentia; Heteromyidae
Exons: 3
Source: RefSeq, a predicted model, not a curated record
CUGACUAGCUGUUUGGGCAGACUUAGACAGUUGGAACAUUUACCUGGGCAGAAAGAACAAUAUCCAACAUAUCCUGAUCCUUCUGAGUGUUAUCCUGCUUCAUUCCAGUCCUGUGGGGAUUUGUUCUGUCCCAGAUUAUCUUUUCUGAGAAGAAUAUAUCACAAUUACCGAAGUGACAGCAAAGCCAAUCAAAGUCAGAUAAAUGAUAAACCAAUGCAGGGGCCAUGAAUAGCUUUCAACUCUUGCCCACUUCCCAGAGGCUAGGGUUGGUCCAUGACACUUAAAGAGAUUACUUUCUACAGAUGGCUUAUUUAGCACGAAUGUAUGGCAUUUGAUAAAAGUUCCAAAGACACACAGAACUCACAAGGCAGAUAGUUUAUAUUCAUCAGGUAAGCAAUGCAAUUUCAAAUUGAUUUCUUUCUAGUUUAAAAUCUUCUCUUCAUGGAAACCACCAAAUAAAAAUUCAAAACAGAACUACCAUUUGAAACUCCCCUUUCUACAGAAGUAGUCUAAAUUUUCUCUCUCUUGGGGUGAAUUUUUGUCACUUUAAAUUUUCCAUUUCAUCUAGCUUUUAAAAGCAUUUAGGCCAGAGGAGAUGGAG